UUACAAAACUAUAAAGAUGUAGGCCUCAAAUGAACAGUGCAAUAAUAUUACAUUUCUAAUUAUUUUAACACAAAACGCACACAAAACGACGUCGUUUAAUCGGAAAAAAAUCCAAAUUAAGCGUAGACGCCUUUUCUUUUCCAAUUUCUUUUGCUGCUCAAAUUUAUGGUCCGCCCAUAUCCGUGGGCCCUUCUCUUAAUAUUUCCAGUAUUUUCCAUUUUUCUUUAACAAACUCACGCGAGUUGUGUUCAUUUACACGCGCUUGCUUUCGGCGGUUGUCAGUCUGCUUCUGCGUUCUCUCGCUUGUCAAUCCCACCUUGACGUUUGUAGCUUCCGGUGUAGCCUGUGGGACGUGGGUUUACACAAUCUUUAUCGUCUCAUUUCUCUUUCCAAUUUUACAUUCUCCGGAGGCCAUUUCAGUACCCAACUAAAGGAAAACCCUAAAAAUUGCACUCUCAAAGCAAACCGCCCGCAAAUCAUCAGUCAUUCGAUGUAUUUUUUGCACAUCCGAUGGAGGUUUUCAAUCCCCAUCUCUGUUUCGUGAGUACAACAACAACAAAAUAGGGGUUUUCUAACCUUUUUACGCCGAUGCCGAAAACUGCCGAGGUUGGAGUCGACCGGAGCUCGUGAAUGGGAAUUAGGAUUCUCAGCCAUUAGGUUCUUCGUUUCCUCCAUUUUCUUUGUUCAAUCCAUUUAGGUUUGCUCUCGAUUACAUUUGGUAUGUUAUCUUUCUCAUUUAUCCCCAAAUAAAGUUUACGCUAUGAUUAUGUUAGACUCAUUCCCUUUUUCUUUAUGUGCUUGGGUGAUGUUCUUGAAAAUGCUAACAGAAGACAACUGCCUUAUUCCCUGCAGAAUGGGUCUGGGUAUAAUUUUUUCUCUCUUUCUUGAUUAAUCAUGUUAAGCUACACUUUGGUGCGAAAUUUGUGCAGAUCUUCCUAAUUUUUGCUACUAACUUUUUUCUUUCACUUGUUUAUGUGGGAUCCAUUUAAGUAAGCCCACUUAUCUAUUUAUCUUAUUAUCUUAAGCGAUUGCAGACUUUUCGGCGGGGAGGAAGACGUUGUCUCGUCCAUUUACUGAGUCAGUGACAUAAGUGGUAUACUGAUGUGGUUUGGUGCUCGGUUGAUUAGUUCUUCAUUCCGCCUCCGACAAUCCUCUCCGUCUGCCUCCUGUCCAAACCAGGCAACACACACUUGUUUAUUGAAAGGCUGAUAUCCUUGGAAAUGCUAAUAGAAACCACUCAAGCUUACUCGGGCAAGAUGAUAUCCUAUGGAUUUAUGUGCAUUUGUUUUUUGCCACGGGGUAUCUCUGACGAAUUUUGGCGGGGUAGGUGAUGGAACGACGUCGAAUACCAGAGCUUUUCAGAUGGUUGUCGAUCAUCUCAGCCAGUUCGAAUCGGACGGUGGAUCGAUGCUCUUUGUUCCUUCUGGGAAGUGGGGUUGACUGGAAGCUUUAAUUUGACCAGCCAUUUUACAUUCUUUCUCCAUAAAGAUGUUGUUCUUCUCGCUUCUCAGGGGAUGAUGGCACCAUUAAUGGGCAUGGUGAAUCCUGGUUGAAGAAAUUCCAAAAGGGAGAUUCACAGUUAACUAGACUUCAUUUAAUUGAAAUAAUGUACUCUGUAAAUGUCCAAAUAUCAAUUUUUUUUUUUUUGAGAUGAAACCAAAUAUCAAAUUUAACACUUGUUAAUUCACCAUCAUGGAAUGUUCAUCCUGUACUA
Molecule: non-coding RNA, 1714 nt
Organism: Erythranthe guttata (spotted monkey flower)
Lineage: Eukaryota; Viridiplantae; Streptophyta; Magnoliopsida; Lamiales; Phrymaceae
Source: RefSeq, a predicted model, not a curated record